RNAcentral lists this ribosomal RNA (253 nucleotides) under uncultured bacterium. RNAcentral describes it as "partial 16S ribosomal RNA". It matches the Rfam family "Bacterial small subunit ribosomal RNA", at positions 524 to 776 of the family's 1533-position model. The record is from RNAcentral.
GACGUAGGGGGCCAGCGUUGUUCGGAAUUACUGGGUGUAAAGGGUUCGUAGGCGGUGUGGCAAGUCGGGAGUGAAAUCUCUGGGCUCAACUCAGAGACUGCUUCCGAAACUGCUGCGCUGGAGUGUGGGAGAGGCGCGUGGAAUUGCAGGUGUAGCGGUGAAAUGCGUAGAUAUCUGCAGGAACACCCGUGGCGAAAGCGGCGCGCUGGACCACUACUGACGCUGAGGAACGAAAGCUAGGGGAGCAAACAGG